This is a long non-coding RNA of Cucumis sativus (cucumber), 1022 nucleotides long. RefSeq lists it as uncharacterized. NCBI's taxonomy places the organism in Eukaryota, Viridiplantae, Streptophyta, Magnoliopsida, Cucurbitales, Cucurbitaceae. The record is from RefSeq and is a predicted model, not a curated record. The transcript has 4 exons.
GUUUCUUAAUGGAUGAAGUUUAUAGAUGAAGUUUAUAGAUGAAGAGAUGAGAAAAGUGAACAAGAUGAAGUUUAUAGUGGUUCAGCACGUAGCCUACAUCAUCACUCUUCAUAGGUGCAGAAAUUGAAGCCCUCUUGCAGAAGAUAGUUCGUCAACAAAUUUCAACAAAUCUCCCUCUUGAACUAUAUUCUGCUUGAAGCAAGGUGUCAUGGAUCGGAUUAAUGAGAAUAGCAGCUUCACUUUCUACCCCCAAUUUCUCCCCAAUUUGAUUAAGAGCAUUGGGAGUUCUUUAGGGUCUUCUAAAGCUUUCAAGGCCUUUUGUGAACCUAAGAUUGCGGUAAUUUUUUUUGUCUACAAGGUAAAGUCUCAAUUUUCAUCAAAGUUUUCAAUUUCAAACUGCGUAGUAGUCAUUUUCUUUCUUUUCUUCUGAUGACUCUGAUACCAGUUCUUGAAAAAAGUAGAAACAAAAGGUUUCUCUUUUUUUUUGUAAAAGCAACCUUUAGACAAGUGUGAUUUUGGAGAAAUUAAAUGCAGAGUUGCCUUUUUGCCCUUUACUUUUCUCUCACAUUUUCAAUAUCUUUGCAAGCAAUCAUCACUUUGAAGGGAUAAAAAUUUAAAGAACUGUUACUCAAAUUAAUUUAAAAAUCUUAAAAUACCAAUACAUUGGUAAAAAUUUAGAAUCAAAAUUCUAAAUAAGAACUUAGUAUGCUUUUAAAUUAAAAGAUAAAGAGAGCUUACUUUCGAUGACGUCUCUGAAUCUAUAAAUCACUGAGGGGACACCACCCGUUGGAGAUCUUCCUAUCCUCUAGGAUGAGAUUGGUUUGUGGUAACCAAUUGGGAUGGAAAAAUGUUUAGAGAUAUUUGAGAGAUUACGGAGAGAAAGUGGGAAAAGGUGGGAGGGUGGGGGAAAGUGAGAGAGUGUGAGGAAGUGGGAGAGUGGAAAAGUACGAGCGGAAGGAAAACAAAAAUAGGGGAUGGUUGAGAAAAAAAAAACAACCUUUUUAUUUUUAUUUAACCUUUGU